RNAcentral lists this ribosomal RNA (441 nucleotides) under uncultured Anaerolineaceae bacterium. RNAcentral's name for it is "bacterial SSU rRNA". It matches the Rfam family "Bacterial small subunit ribosomal RNA", at positions 338 to 795 of the family's 1533-position model. The record is from RNAcentral. Lineage: Bacteria; Bacillati; Chloroflexota; Anaerolineae; Anaerolineales; Anaerolineaceae.
CCUACGGGGGGCUGCAGUAGGGAAUAUUGCACAAUGGGCGAAAGCCUGAUGCAGCAACGCCGCGUGAGUGAAGAAGGCCUUCGGGUCGUAAAACUCUUUUCAAGGGAAAGAGGAAGGACGGUACCCUUGGAAUAAGCAUCGGCUAACUACGUGCCAGCAGCCGCGGUAACACGUAGGAUGCGAGCGUUAUUCGGAUUUACUGGGCGUAAAGCGCGUGUAGGCGGUUAGGAGAGUUGGAUGUGAAAGCUCCCGGCUUAACUGGGAGAGGUCGUUCAAAACUUCCUGACUAGAGUUUGGUAGAGGAAAAUGGAAUUCCGGGUGUAGUGGUGAAAUGCGUAGAUAUCCGGAGGAACACCAGUGGCGAAAGCGAUUUUCUGGACCGAUACUGACGCUCAGACGCGAAAGCUAGGGUAGCAAACGGGAUUAGAUACCCCUGUAGUC